RNAcentral lists this ribosomal RNA (46 nucleotides) under Steinernema kraussei. Its description in RNAcentral is "partial 28S ribosomal RNA". Lineage: Eukaryota; Metazoa; Nematoda; Chromadorea; Rhabditida; Steinernematidae. The record is from RNAcentral.
CAAGCAAGACUACCCGCUGAACUUAAGCAUAUCAUUUAGCGGAGGA